This is a small nuclear RNA of Arabidopsis thaliana (thale cress), 104 nucleotides long. NCBI's taxonomy places the organism in Eukaryota, Viridiplantae, Streptophyta, Magnoliopsida, Brassicales, Brassicaceae. The record is from RefSeq.
UUUUUAAAAAUUAAAUAUAUACGAAAACAUAAUAUUUAUUUAUGACUAACUUGAUUAAAUCCGACUACUAGUGGAUCUCUGUUAUUAAGUUUACUAGAAUAUAU